This 341-nucleotide ribosomal RNA is filed under the name uncultured bacterium. Its description in RNAcentral is "bacterial SSU rRNA". It matches the Rfam family "Bacterial small subunit ribosomal RNA", at positions 28 to 369 of the family's 1533-position model. The record is from RNAcentral.
GAUGAACGCUAGCGGCAGGCUUAAUACAUGCAAGUCGAGGGGCAGCACGGGUAGCAAUACCUGGUGGCGACCGGCAAACGGGUGCGGAACACGUACGCAACCUACCCAAAACUGAGGAAUAGCCCGGGGAAACCCGGAUUAAUACUUCGUAACAUAUUAGAGUGGCAUCACUUUAUAUUAUAGCUCCGGCGGUUUUGGAUGGGCGUGCGCCUGAUUAGGUAGUUGGCAGGGUAACGGCCACCAAGCCUACGAUCAGUAACUGGUGUGAGAGCACGACAGUCACACGGGCACUGAGACACGGGCCCGACUCCUACGGGAGGCAGCAGUAAGGAAUAUUGGUC